Molecule: unclassified non-coding RNA, 965 nt
Filed under: Hevea brasiliensis (rubber tree)
Lineage: Eukaryota; Viridiplantae; Streptophyta; Magnoliopsida; Malpighiales; Euphorbiaceae
Source: RNAcentral
GAAAGAAAUGCUGCCUAUCAGCCUUGGAUUUGGACUGCUGGGAAUCAUGAACUUGAUUUUGCUCCUCAAUUUGGUGAACCUAUCCCCUUUAAGCCUUAUUUGCACAGAUAUCAUGUCCCAUACACUGCAUCUGGAAGCACCUCUCCUCUUUGGUAUUCCAUCAAGAGAGCUUCAGCAUACAUCAUUGUCAUGUCCUCUUACUCAGCAUUUGGGAAAUACACUCCUCAGUACAAAUGGCUAGAACAAGAGCUGCCUAAAGUGAAUAGGACCGAGACACCAUGGCUUAUUGUUCUUAUGCAUUGUCCAAUGUACAACAGUUAUGCACAUCAUUAUAUGGAAGGGGAAACCAUGAGAGUGAUGUAUGAGGCUUGGUUUGUGGAGUACAAAGUUGAUGUCGUCUUCGCUGGUCAUGUUCAUGCCUAUGAACGAUCUGAACGAGUAUCGAAUAUUGCAUACAAUGUCGUAAAUGGAUUGUGCACUCCCAUAGGUGAUCAAUCGGCUCCAAUUUACAUAACCAUUGGAGAUGGAGGAAAUCUAGAAGGACUGGUGACCGAAAUGACAGAACCACAGCCAAGCUACUCAGCUUUCAGGGAAGCUAGCUUUGGACAUGGUCUUCUUGAUAUAAAGAACAGGACUCGUGCCUAUUUCAGUUGGUGGCAUCGCAAUCAAGAUGGCUAAUGGCUACGCCGUGGAAGCUGAUACCGUAUUGUUGAUAAAUAGAUAUUGGAGCUCCUUAGAAGAAUCAAAGGCUACAACAUGAAAAGAUGGCCAUUUUGCACUCUUAGCUCUGAAGAUAAUACUUGCAGGCUGCAGUGAGUUCUCUCCUCGCUCGAUCAUUGUGUUCAAAAUAUAAGAAAAGUUUUAUACAAAAUCGUUUAUAAUAUAUGCAUUCUGUUAUUUAGUUUAAUUAUGACCUGUGAUGUAAUAAAGAUUUAAACUGUGAGAAAGAAUAUCCUUCAUAAACG